Molecule: non-coding RNA, 98 nt
Organism: Acanthosepion pharaonis
Lineage: Eukaryota; Metazoa; Mollusca; Cephalopoda; Sepiida; Sepiidae
Source: the annotation of a GenBank genome assembly
GUUGAAACACCGGUUCUCGUACAAUCACUGAAGUUAAGCAACAUUGAGCCAGGUCAGUAUCCAGAUGGGUGACUGCUUGAGAAUAUUAAGUGCUGUAA